UACGGAGGGGGCGAGCGUUAUUCGGAAUUAUUGGGCGUAAAGGGCGCGUAGGCGGCCUGAUAAGUCAAAGGUGAAAUCCCUCGGCUCAACUGAGGAAUUGCCUUUGAAACUGUCAGGCUUGAGGCCGGGAGGGGGUGGCGGAAUUCCCAGUGUAGCGGUGAAAUGCGUAGAUAUUGGGAGGAACACCAGUGGCGAAGGCGGCUCACUGGACCGGCACUGACGCUGAUGCGCGAAAGCGUGGGGAGCAAACGGG
Molecule: ribosomal RNA, 253 nt
Filed under: uncultured bacterium
Lineage: Bacteria
Description: partial 16S ribosomal RNA
Rfam family: Bacterial small subunit ribosomal RNA
Source: RNAcentral